GGUUAAGCGACUAAGCGUACACGGUGGAUGCCCUGGCAGUCAGAGGCGAUGAAGGACGUGCUAAUCUGCGAAAAGCGUCGGUAAGGUGAUAUGAACCGUUAUAACCGGCGAUGUCCGAAUGGGGAAACCCAGUGCAAUUCGUUGCACUAUCGUUAACUGAAUACAUAGGUUAACGAGGCGAACCGGGGGAACUGAAACAUCUAAGUACCCCGAGGAAAAGAAAUCAACCGAGAUUCCCCCAGUAGCGGCGAGCGAACGGGGAGCAGCCCAGAGUCUGAAUCAGCUUGUGUGUUAGUGGAACGGUCUGGAAAGUCCGACGGUACAGGGUGAUAGUCCCGUACACCAAAAUGCACAGGCUGUGAACUCGAAGAGUAGGGCGGGACACGUGGUAUCCUGUCUGAAUAUGGGGGGACCAUCCUCCAAGGCUAAAUACUCCUGACUGACCGAUAGUGAACCAGUACCGUGAGGGAAAGGCGAAAAGAACCCCGGCGAGGGGAGUGAAAAAGAACCUGAAACCGUGUACGUACAAGCAGUGGGAGCACCUUCGGGUGUGACUGCGUACCUUUUGUAUAAUGGGUCAGCGACUUAUAUUCUGUAGCAAGGUUAACCGUAUAGGGGAGCCGCAGGGAAACCGAGUCUUAACUGGGCGUUAAGUUGCAGGGUAUAGACCCGAAACCCGGUGAUCUAGCCAUGGGCAGGUUGAAGGUUGGGUAACACUAACUGGAGGACCGAACCGACUAAUGUUGAAAAAUUAGCGGAUGACUUGUGGCUGGGGGUGAAAGGCCAAUCAAACCGGGAGAUAGCUGGUUCUCCCCGAAAGCUAUUUAGGUAGCGCCUCGUGAAUUCAUCUUCGGGGGUAGAGCACUGUUUCGGCUAGGGGGUCAUCCCGACUUACCAACCCGAUGCAAACUACGAAUACCGAAGAAUGUUAUCACGGGAGACACACGGCGGGUGCUAACGUCCGUCGUGAAGAGGGAAACAACCCAGACCGCCAGCUAAGGUCCCAAAGUCAUGGUUAAGUGGGAAACGAUGUGGGAAGGCACAGACAGCCAGGAUGUUGGCUUAGAAGCAGCCAUCAUUUAAAGAAAGCGUAAUAGCUCACUGGUCGAGUCGGCCUGCGCGGAAGAUGUAACGGGGCUAAACCAUGCACCGAAGCUGCGGCAGCGACACUAUGUGUUGUUGGGUAGGGGAGCGUUCUGUAAGCCUGCGAAGGUGUGCUGUGAGGCAUGCUGGAGGUAUCAGAAGUGCGAAUGCUGACAUAAGUAACGAUAAAGCGGGUGAAAAGCCCGCUCGCCGGAAGACCAAGGGUUCCUGUCCAACGUUAAUCGGGGCAGGGUGAGUCGACCCCUAAGGCGAGGCCGAAAGGCGUAGUCGAUGGGAAACAGGUUAAUAUUCCUGUACUUGGUGUUACUGCGAAGGGGGGACGGAGAAGGCUAUGUUAGCCGGGCGACGGUUGUCCCGGUUUAAGCAUGUAGGCUGGUUAUCCAGGCAAAUCCGGAUAAUCAAGGCUGAGGUGUGAUGACGAGGCACUACGGUGCUGAAGUAACAAAUGCCCUGCUUCCAGGAAAAGCCUCUAAGCAUCAGGUAACAUCAAAUCGUACCCCAAACCGACACAGGUGGUCAGGUAGAGAAUACCAAGGCGCUUGAGAGAACUCGGGUGAAGGAACUAGGCAAAAUGGUGCCGUAACUUCGGGAGAAGGCACGCUGGUGUGUAGGUGAAGUCCCUGCGGAUGGAGCUGAGACCAGUCGAAGAUACCAGCUGGCUGCAACUGUUUAUUAAAAACACAGCACUGUGCAAACACGAAAGUGGACGUAUACGGUGUGACGCCUGCCCGGUGCCGGAAGGUUAAUUGAUGGGGUUAUCCGUAAGGAGAAGCUCUUGAUCGAAGCCCCGGUAAACGGCGGCCGUAACUAUAACGGUCCUAAGGUAGCGAAAUUCCUUGUCGGGUAAGUUCCGACCUGCACGAAUGGCGUAAUGAUGGCCAGGCUGUCUCCACCCGAGACUCAGUGAAAUUGAACUCGCUGUGAAGAUGCAGUGUACCCGCGGCAAGACGGAAAGACCCCGUGAACCUUUACUAUAGCUUGACACUGAACAUUGAGCCUUGAUGUGUAGGAUAGGUGGGAGGCUUUGAAGCGUGGACGCCAGUCUGCGUGGAGCCAACCUUGAAAUACCACCCUUUAAUGUUUGAUGUUCUAACGUUGGCCCCUGACCGGGGUUGCGGACAGUGUCUGGUGGGUAGUUUGACUGGGGCGGUCUCCUCCCAAAGCGUAACGGAGGAGCACGAAGGUUAGCUAAUCCUGGUCGGACAUCAGGAGGUUAGUGCAAUGGCAUAAGCUAGCUUGACUGCGAGCGUGACGGCGCGAGCAGGUGCGAAAGCAGGUCAUAGUGAUCCGGUGGUUCUGAAUGGAAGGGCCAUCGCUCAACGGAUAAAAGGUACUCCGGGGAUAACAGGCUGAUACCGCCCAAGAGUUCAUAUCGACGGCGGUGUUUGGCACCUCGAUGUCGGCUCAUCACAUCCUGGGGCUGAAGUAGGUCCCAAGGGUAUGGCUGUUCGCCAUUUAAAGUGGUACGCGAGCUGGGUUUAGAACGUCGUGAGACAGUUCGGUCCCUAUCUGCCGUGGGCGCUGGAGAAUUGAGGGGGGCUGCUCCUAGUACGAGAGGACCGGAGUGGACGCAUCACUGGUGUUCGGGUUGUCAUGCCAAUGGCAUUGCCCGGUAGCUAAAUGCGGAAGAGAUAAGUGCUGAAAGCAUCUAAGCACGAAACUUGCCCCGAGAUGAGUUCUCCCUGAGACUUUAAGUCUCCUGAAGGAACGUUGAAGACGACGACGUUGAUAGGCCGGGUGUGUAAGCGCAGCGAUGCGUUGAGCUAACCGGUACUAAUGAACCGUGAGGCUUAACCUU
This 2902-nucleotide ribosomal RNA is filed under the name Klebsiella pneumoniae. Its description in RNAcentral is "23S ribosomal RNA". It matches the Rfam family "Bacterial large subunit ribosomal RNA". Lineage: Bacteria; Pseudomonadati; Pseudomonadota; Gammaproteobacteria; Enterobacterales; Enterobacteriaceae. The record is from RNAcentral.